UCAGCAGCAGGCUGGGUGGAAAUAAUGACUUUAAAGAGUCAUUGACUUCAGUGCAGGAGGUCACCAUCAAUCCAGCAGCUGCAGUGAGACCACAGCUGUUGCGCAGAAGUGCUAUUUCACGUUGCAGAUGCUGGUAACUGCUGGUCCUACUCUCUUUUAUGGUUAAGUAGUAGUAUAAACACAGAAUCAGGAACUACAGCUACCAUACAACUGUUAGAAACAGUGUGUGGUUUAUGGUCUGAGAGGCCCUGCGUAGUAUGUCUCCUUCUGCUACAAACUUCCACUUGGGAGCGCACAAAGCUGACCUGAGUAGGUUCUAGAGAAUUUCAGUAGCAGCACAGCAAGACACUGUAUAUGGCAACAAUUUUGAAUCCCGUGCAUAAUAGCCCUACCCUCUGAGACUCUGCCAGAAAUCAAUAUUCUGUAUUUUAAACUCAAAGACUAGGACAAUGCUCUGAAAAGUUACAAAAUACCAGAAUUGAAGUUACCUGUGACACGACAUCAGCCACAACCUUGAGAGCUAUCAUAGAUUAUUUUUUCCAAUGUGCUGGAAAGAACUGUUACAAGCAUUACGUUUAAUAAUAUCGUAAAAUAAGAAGAAGUAGUGAUAAUGUACAUAACUUUUAAAAGAUGUAGUCAAGCAUCAAUACUGCAGUGCAGCAAGUGUAAACAGUGUAUCUGCUGAAAUGCAGUCUUUUGCCUUCGGCAGAUGUGUUAUUUUUUCACUGUAGUGAGAUACCUAAAUAAGUAAAUGAAAUGUGUCCCUUUGGCUUUCAGAGUCUGAAGUAAAAAAAGGAUAUCACACCUACAGGGAAGAAGGAUAAACCAGCAAAGUAAACAUCAGCAUCCAAGUGCAACUGUGGGACAUCUCUUUAUUCUCUCCUACACCGAGGGAAAACUGAAUGAUUCACUUCACAGUUGAACAGUUUAUGAAUGGUAUUUGGAAAUGGAAGCAGCAACACAGAAGAAUCUCUCAGAUGAAGAGAUUGUGUAACUGUUGAAGAGACAUUGCAAUGUUCGUUUCAGACUCUAAAUAGCCUCUUCCCACAAAGCAAAAUUAAUCCCUGAAGUGGGUAGGAACAGAGGAAUGAACCUAAAAUGUAUUGGUUUAUUUCCCAUAGUAAGAAAUGGCUCCACAAAUAAUUUCAUUUACUUUCAUUAGUUCUA
Long non-coding RNA from Pseudopipra pipra, 1167 nucleotides. RefSeq lists it as uncharacterized. The record is from RefSeq and is a predicted model, not a curated record. The transcript is spliced from 2 exons. NCBI's taxonomy places the organism in Eukaryota, Metazoa, Chordata, Aves, Passeriformes, Pipridae.